This 1001-nucleotide long non-coding RNA is filed under the name Macaca mulatta (Rhesus monkey). Its description in RNAcentral is "lncRNA (ENSMMUG00000065313.1)". Lineage: Eukaryota; Metazoa; Chordata; Mammalia; Primates; Cercopithecidae. The record is from RNAcentral.
GCUUACAAUCAACACACCUGUCUAGUCAACUCACUCCUGCCUUAUAUGUAUGCACAAGAAUAAAAGGAGGGGAGCUUCAACACCACUCCCCUUGUGCACAGAGCCUGUGAUGGGUCAUGCCUGGGCUGGCAGGCACGUGAUUCAUGGUUCUAACUCCAUGUAGCAGGUGGUCCACCUGGAAGCUGUCGAUGGGAGUCCUCCCCAUGUGGACGGACUCUACAGACUGUGCGUGCCUAGUCUCUCCGCAGGAGACGCACAGCACGCCGGGCACGCCCCGUCCGUCCAGACCUGAGGCACAGCACACCGGGCACGCCCCGACCAUCCGGAGGAGACGCACAGCACGCCGGGCACACACCGUCCAGAGGAGACGCACAGCACGCCGGGCACACCCCGUCCCUCCAGAGGAGACGCACAGCACGCCGGGCACGCCCCGUCCCUCCAGAGGAGACGCACAGCACGCCGGGCACGCCCCGUCCCUCCAGAGGAGACGCACAGCACGCCGGGCACGCCCCGUCCCUCCGAGGAGGCGCACAGCACGCCGGGCACGCCCCGUCCAGAGGAGACGCACAGCACGCCGGGCACGCCCCGUCCCUCCAGAGGAGACGCACAGCACGCCGGGCACGCCCCGUCCCUCCAGAGGAGACGCACAGCACGCCGGGCACCCCCGUCCCUCCAGAGGAGACGCACAGCACCCCCCGCCACCCCCCCCCCCCCCCCCCCCCCCCCCCCCCCCCCCCCCCCCCCCCCCCCCCCCCCCCCCCCCCCCCCCCCCCCCCCCCCCCCCCCGCCCCCGUCCCUCCGAGGAGACGCACAGCACGCCGGGCACGCCCCGUCCAGAGGAGACGCACAGCACGCCGGGCACGCCCCGUCCAGAGGAGACGCACAGCACGCCGGGCACGCCCCGUCCCUCCGAAGGAGACGCACAGCACGCCGGGCACGCCCCGUCCCUCCGAGGAGGCGCACAGCACGCCGGGCACGCCCCGUCCAGAGGAGACGCAUAG